RNAcentral lists this long non-coding RNA (856 nucleotides) under Rattus norvegicus (Norway rat). Its description in RNAcentral is "long non-coding RNA NONRATT028469". The record is from RNAcentral. Lineage: Eukaryota; Metazoa; Chordata; Mammalia; Rodentia; Muridae.
CGGAGCCGGUGCCGGCCCGCGAGCCCCGGUGUCUCCGCAGACUGGUCUCUGCCGGUGUCCGGCGGGGGCCCAAGCCGUGGGAGGAGUCGGGUGCUAGCUGGAGUCUAGCUGGGGUCACAACGCCGGUGUCAGGGACCCGGAUCUCCGGCUACGGAGACAGAGCCCGAGCGUCGCGACCCCGGAGAACCUCUUCUCUAUCGGUGGCACCGACUGGUCCUAGGAUCUCGGCGGCGCCGGAGAGUCCCGGAGCCCGCGCUCUCAGCCCCGGGGGAGCUCGCCCACGCCCCACGGUCCAUCCGGGCCAUGCUCCCCCGGGGCAGCGGCUGAGCCCGAGCCGGGACCAGAGCCCGCGGGAGCAUGGAUCCAGACUGGGGGCAGCGGGAUGUGGGCUGGGCGGCCCUGCUGGUCCUCUUCGCCGCCUCGCUGCUCACGGUAUUGGGCUGGUUGCUGCAGUAUGCCCGGGGUUUGUGGCUGUCGCGAGCCGGUGGGGGCCGAGACUCUCGACCCGCUUCAGCUGCCGAGCCCGGGGGUUCAUUGCGCGAGCUGGGUGUGUGGCGUUCGCUGCUGCGUUUGCGGGCGACCCGGAGCAGCGCCCCCGAGGAAGCCGGCGUACGGGGCCUCCUGGCUUCGCUCUUUGCCUUCAAGUCUUUCCGGGAGAACUGGCAACGGGCUUGGGUGCGAGCCUUGAAUGAGCAGGCCUGCAGGGACGGGAGCUCCAUCCAAAUCGCCUUUGAGGAGAUACCCCAACUCCCACCAAGAGCCAGCAUUAGUCAUGUGACCUGCGUUGACCAAUCAGAGCGUACCAUGGUAAGGGUCUGGUGGGCACUACCAGAUGGGGUAGGAGGGGCUGACCCUG